This 465-nucleotide ribosomal RNA is filed under the name uncultured bacterium. RNAcentral describes it as "partial 16S ribosomal RNA". It matches the Rfam family "Bacterial small subunit ribosomal RNA", at positions 28 to 507 of the family's 1533-position model. The record is from RNAcentral.
GACGAACGCUGGCGGCGUGCUUAACACAUGCAAGUCGAACGGAAAGGUCCUGCUUGCAGGGUGCUCGAGUGGCGAACGGGUGAGUAACACGUGUGUGAUCUGCAUUGCACUUGGGGAUAAGGAUGGGUAACUGAGGAUAAUACCGGGGAGGAGACAUCUUGAGGGAGGAGGGGGGAGAGUUGUUUCGGUGUAGGAUGAGCGCGCGGCCUAUCAGGGUGGUGGUGGGGUAGUGGCCUACCAAGGCGGCGACGGGUAGCCGGCGUGGGUGGGUGUACGGGCACAGUGAGACUGGGAUUCGGCCCCGGCCCCGACUCGAGGCAGCGGUGGGGAAUAGUACACAAAGGGCGCGAGGCUGAUGCUGAUCCGCCGCGUCGGCGUUGAAGGCCUUGGCGUUGUAAUCGCCUUGCGCUAGCGGCUAAGCUGUUUGUGACGGUACCUGGAUAAGAAGCACCGGCUAACUACGUG